CACUUAUCGUGCUGGGAGACAGUGUCAGGCGGGCAGUUUGACUGGGGCGGUCGCCUCCUAAAGAGUAACGGAGGCGCUCAAAGGUUCCCUCAGAAUGGUUGGAAAUCAUUCAUAGAGUGUAAAGGCAUAAGGGAGCUUGACUGCGAGACCUACAAGUCGAGCAGGGUCGAAAGACGGACUUAGUGAUCCGGUGGUUCCGCAUGGAAGGGCCAUCGCUCAACGGAUAAAAGCUACCCCGGGGAUAACAGGCUUAUCUCCCCCAAGAGUUCACAUCGACGGGGAGGUUUGGCACCUCGAUGUCGGCUCAUCGCAUCCUGGGGCUGUAGUCGGUCCCAAGGGUUGGGCUGUUCGCCCAUUAAAGCGGUACGCGAGCUGGGUUCAGAACGUCGUGAGACAGUUCGGUCCCUAUCCGUCGUGGGCGUAGGAAAUUUGAGAGGAGCUGUCCUUAGUACGAGAGGACCGGGAUGGACAUACCUCUGGUGUACCAGUUGUCGUGCCAACGGCAUAGCUGGGUAGCUAUGUAUGGACGGGAUAAGUGCUGAAAGCAUCUAAGCAUGAAGCCCCCCUCGAGAUGAGAUUUCCCAACUUC
Molecule: ribosomal RNA, 589 nt
Filed under: Staphylococcus pseudintermedius
Lineage: Bacteria; Bacillati; Bacillota; Bacilli; Caryophanales; Staphylococcaceae
Description: partial 23S ribosomal RNA
Rfam family: Bacterial large subunit ribosomal RNA
Source: RNAcentral